RNAcentral lists this ribosomal RNA (253 nucleotides) under uncultured bacterium. RNAcentral describes it as "partial 16S ribosomal RNA". It matches the Rfam family "Bacterial small subunit ribosomal RNA", at positions 524 to 776 of the family's 1533-position model. The record is from RNAcentral.
UACGGGGGGGGCAAGCGUUGUUCGGAAUUACUGGGCGUAAAGGGCUCGUAGGCGGCCAACUAAGUCAUACGUGAAAUCCCUCGGCUUAACCGGGGAACUGCGUCUGAUACUGGAUGGCUUGAGAUUGGGAGAGGGAUGCGGAAUUCCAGGUGUAGCGGUGAAAUGCGUAGAUAUCUGGAGGAACACCGGUGGCGAAGGCGGCAUCCUGGACCAAUUCUGACACUGAGGAGCGAAAGCCAGGGGAGCAAACGGG